GUCCGCAUAGUUUAACAAAAACACUAGACUGUGAAACUAGAAAUAGAAAUAUUCUUGCGAACC
RNAcentral lists this transfer RNA (63 nucleotides) under Cercosaura eigenmanni. RNAcentral describes it as "tRNA-His". It matches the Rfam family "tRNA". From Rfam's summary of the family: Transfer RNA (tRNA) molecules are approximately 80 nucleotides in length. Their secondary structure includes four short double-helical elements and three loops (D, anti-codon, and T loops). Further hydrogen bonds mediate the characteristic L-shaped molecular structure. tRNAs have two regions of fundamental functional importance: the anti-codon, which is responsible for specific mRNA codon recognition, and the 3' end, to which the tRNAs corresponding amino acid is attached (by aminoacyl-tRNA synthetases). tRNAs cope with the degeneracy of the genetic code in two manners: having more than one tRNA (with a specific anti-codon) for a particular amino acid; and 'wobble' base-pairing, i.e. permitting non-standard base-pairing at the 3rd anti-codon position. Lineage: Eukaryota; Metazoa; Chordata; Lepidosauria; Squamata; Gymnophthalmidae. The record is from RNAcentral.